CUGUGACAAGCCUCUGGUCCCUCGGCUCCGUAAUCUUCGUGUGAUGGUCGCUGUUGUUAGCGCACAGAUUCCAGCCCCAUUUCCCAGCAGCUGGGUGAGAACAAACUCAAACUGUGUUUACAGCUGCAAAACAUCAGCUGGAAUGUGGUGAACUCAUAGCAACAGUAAACGGCUGUCUUUUCUACUGCCUUUACAAUUAUUCCAAACACAGACAGGCAAACAAUAGCCAGCGAUUAGCACGAAACUGGCACCUCCCCAAGGGGUGGCAGCUCAUAGCAGGACCACAGGGUUAGAAAGAAUACCGCAGUCCACCAAGAGUACAACGGCCUGCAAAAUGGACUAGAGGAAACAAAGCUGAAAGAUGCAGGGUGUGUAAAGCUUCACCACAUUACGAAAAAAAAAGAACAAAACCCACAACAGGCACAGCAAUCUAAUAGGCACAGACUCUACCACGGCUCAUGUAGCACGCUGUGCAUGAACGUCCUGAGGAGCUCAAAAGCCGUUUUGUGCUUCACUAUGGUGUGAUGCACGGCACGGCACGGCACUUGCUCCCCCAGGGCAUAGUGGCAUUGCUAGAGGUCUUGGCAGGUAAGAGAACAGGCUAAUAAUAAAGUCUGCCAUUUAUUCCACAAAGGGCAUCUCAGUGGAAAGUAGACAAGCCCCUCUGGGUGACAUGGCAGCUGGGAAAAAAAGACCAAGAUGUUCCCUACUAUUCAUCCCACUACAUAUGGGACUGCUCCCACUAUAUCCAGGCCUCACAUCCUUCAUAAGGGCAAAUCCUGUGAAGCAGAGAUAUGUUAAAAGAGAGCAGUCUGACAGCCGGGGACGGUGAGAGAGCAAUCCAGCCGCAGAAAUAGCAGGGUUGCUACGACAACCAGGCAGCGCACACCAGCGACAAAAUGGCGUCACUAGCAACAGACAUCUUAAGCUGGAUUUCUCAACUAACCUUGACAGGUUUGUGUGUCCUGUCCUGUUUGCUGUAGGCUGCACGAUUCCAGUGGGUGGGUUUGGGGAUGACAUUACGUGGUGCCGGCAUCUCUAGCGGACUUUUCCCACCUCCUCUCCGAGUCUCCCUGCUUUGCUCA
Ictalurus punctatus (channel catfish) is the source of this 1085-nucleotide long non-coding RNA. RefSeq lists it as uncharacterized. The transcript has 4 exons. Lineage: Eukaryota; Metazoa; Chordata; Actinopteri; Siluriformes; Ictaluridae. The record is from RefSeq and is a predicted model, not a curated record.